Molecule: unclassified non-coding RNA, 250 nt
Filed under: plant metagenome
Description: partial contains small subunit ribosomal RNA, internal transcribed spacer 1, and 5.8S ribosomal RNA
Source: RNAcentral
GUAGGUGAACCUGCGGAAGGAUCAUUAACACGUAUCCACGUAUCAAAACCCCUCUGUGCACCCCUCUUCGUGAAGGUUUGAUUGGAGUUGCAUUCACUCGAUCUUAAUGAUGGGAGUCCUUUUUUUUUCUUCCGAGAGAGAAAGGCUCGGGAUCUAUGAGUGGGUGCCGCGUUUGACAAUCGGGCCGCUAUUUUUCCAUCGUUAGGCUUUUAUUAAAAUUUUUAACCCCUUUGUACUUUUUAUGUACUGA